Magallana angulata is the source of this 1553-nucleotide long non-coding RNA. RefSeq lists it as uncharacterized. NCBI's taxonomy places the organism in Eukaryota, Metazoa, Mollusca, Bivalvia, Ostreida, Ostreidae. The transcript has 3 exons. The record is from RefSeq and is a predicted model, not a curated record.
GCGCCUCGUUGCUACGUAUGCUAGUGCGCGAAAAUGGAAGUUCGAGAAGACUACACGGUUUCGGGACACUACGCAAACAGUUUCACAAGUCUGUAUAAAGCCGAUCCAGAAUAAACAACUCCAGUGACCCUUUGUAAUUGUUGCAGAGACAUAACAAGACAUCUGCAAGGUUUAAAACUUAGUGAUGGCCGACAAACAACCUGCCAACCCAACCGCGGACAGCGAAGGAAGUCAUACCCCAAAGAAUCACAUUAUAUACAGGACUCAGAACUUUGACAAUCACAGACCCUGUCAUAACAUCAAACUGGACUGAUGAGGCAGAAUAUAUCUUACAGAAUGUUUCAACAAGCGAAAAGUCGAAGAAUGUGUUGACCCAGUGCUUAAUCUGAUUGCACCAGGGCAAUCAGAGAAAUUAAAACAAUUGAUUAUGUUAGGACCUUAAACAACUCCAACAGAUAAAGAGCUUACAAACUACAUGUAUAUGAGGAGAUAACUAACAUUGAACUUCACACUCAAAUUUUUUCAAUGUCAAAAAACUAUGUUAAUAUAUAUAACAGUAAUAAGAUGUACAUGUAUAACUAAUUUAUGUAGAAGAUAAGUGCAUAUAUGUAUGUCCCUUUCUCACUGAUUGUCCAUUAUACAUGUAUAGAAAGAAUAAAGAAAUUUUAUAUCUCAUUACUUCAAGAAAAAUUAUGUGUAAUUAGCAUUAAGAAAGACAAAUUUAGCUGCAUGGUUAAUAACCAAGGAAGACAGAACAAUAACUAAUGAUUAAGUUAAUUGAAUUUCUAAUAUAAAAAAAGAAUCUCAGAAUGCUAUGAUAUUUUUAUAAUAACAAGUGAAAUACUUUGUACUUAUCAUGAUAUAUCAUGAUUUCAUCUUUAAUUACCAAUAUGUGUAUUUAUGUAAUAACCAUGAUGGUAGCUACAUUAUUUGGACUACAUACAGUGUUUUCCCCAGAAAAUGUUUGAUGCAUGGGGGGAAAUUUGUCAGAGUAGGUGCACGGUGCAGUGUUAAAGGGCCCACACCGGGGCAAAAACACUUCGAGUAAAAAUAAUAUAACCAUCUGAUGAAAUGUACUGCAUGAUAUGCACUAAAAUUAAUGCAUUUUCAUGAAAUUCAUAUUUUGUAUUUAUGUAAUUACCAUGAUGGUAGCUACAUUUUUGGACUACAUAUACAUGUAUAUAGGAAUAUUCUAAUAGCAUAAAUUUGUAUACACAGCAUUUACCCAACUGCUGCACAUUCAUAUAAAUGUAUGCACUAUUUUUAUCCCCCCUUCGAAGAAGACGGCCAGUCCACCAACAGUUAUCAUUCAUUUUCUUCGCAGGGGUUCCACAUUUUGAAAUGAAAUUUGGUAUACAGAUUUAUCUGAAUAAGAUCUAGGCAAAGUUAUUUUUUGGGUAUGAUUGAGCAAUUUUUGACCUUGGAAUUAAAAAAAAUUCCAAUUAUUUGCAUUUUCUUCUCAGAUGUUUCCAAAGGAGGGGGCAUAGUUGUUUCACAAACAUGUCUUGUUUGUGUGCAAUCGUUCACUUAGGAUUUUCUUUUUAAAAAAUUGU